Manis pentadactyla (Chinese pangolin) is the source of this 2267-nucleotide long non-coding RNA. RefSeq lists it as uncharacterized. The transcript has 3 exons. The record is from RefSeq and is a predicted model, not a curated record. Lineage: Eukaryota; Metazoa; Chordata; Mammalia; Pholidota; Manidae.
AGGGCCCGGGCUGCGCCUGAAGGCGGGGGCGGGAGGCGCGGCCGCAGACGCCGAAGGCAGGUCCCUGCAGCGACCGCUCCAACCUGGAGGAACCUUGGAGAAUCAAGUCCAGCCCCCUCUUUUUAGAAAAGAAAACCUGAGGCCUUGAGACUGGAGGGAACCUGCCCGAGGAGGCCACCCAGCCCGUGGCCGACAGCCAGGCCCCGAGGCUGCCCCCCUCCCCGUGGCUCUGUUCUACACACUUUGCAUGUAACAUUGACUGAAUCUCACAGCAGCAACCUUGAGGGAGAAGCUGAACUGCAGAAAAGUGAAGUGACCUGCCCAAGGUCAUGCAGCUACGAAGUGAUGGACCCUGGACCAAGCUGGCCUGCUCCCCAGGACCACACUAGCAGUCACAAUGAUGUGCUGAUCCCCAUAGCAGACCCUCAGGUUGCAAGAAUGAAUGAGUGAGUGGGCAAAUGACAAAUACCUGGGCCAAGUGGUAUGCCUGAAUAACAGACAUUCCCAGCUUUCAGAAGCUCGCUGUCUGCAUCUCCUUGGGUCUCUGUUGUGGAGUGGGGAGAGAAGGGAACACUCUCAUUGACUAUGGGACAGUUGUGUGCCAGUCAUUAUAACUUCUGCAAAACAGAUGUUGUUAUUGUCCUGGUUUUAUAGGCAAGGAAACAGAAGCCCAGAAAGGUAAAGUGAGUGAGGUCAUACAGCUCUUGCAACAGGAUUCAGACUGUCCAUCAGACUCCAGAUUAUGCUCUACCAUCAGCCAGUCCAAAUCACAAAUCACAUUUACUGGGCAGGCUGGGGACCUGGGCAGGGCUGGUGCAGCUCCCACGCUGACUGGUGGACAGUGGGUGGCUUGGCCUGUCUUUGCUGUAUCCCUCAACCCCAGCCCAUCUUUGCAAGUGGGAAGCGCACACAGCCAGUACCUAUUCCCUUGGCCAGAAGGAAAGGGUAAGACUGUUCCUAGGAGGAAAGAGGUGGUGAUAAAGGAGAUGAAGGCUGUUUUCACCCUCUUCAUUGUAGUGACCACACUGAGUUCUUCUUAUGGUGGCCAAUACUGAGCUCAGACCUGUUCAUACCAAACUGACUGAAGAUUCUUGUACCUGCAUGUAAAGGAAACCCAACUAAAUUGGCUUAUGAACUGAAUCGUGGAACUGGGAGUCCAGGAGUAGGUUUGGCUUCAAGCAGUGCUUGGUAAUAUCUACAUCAAUGCUGUCAUCAUCAUCAUUAUCAUUAUCCUUCUAACAAAUGACUCUGCCCACAGAAUAGAUGGGCUCUCUCCAAACUCAUAGUCUCCCAGUUCGGUAACUCCAGGAAGGAGAGAUUCAAGGCAGACUCUGGUUGGCCUGUGGGAGUCUUGAGCCCACCAUAGGGAUGAAUCACUGUUGCCAGGAAAGGGAUAUCAUGAUUGACUGGGCAUGGCAGGUGCCCCAUGGGAAGAGGCUAAGGCUUUAUGAUUGGUCUCAACAGAGCACAAAGAAUGGGGUGGACCCCAAGAAAGGGUAAUGUAAAAAGAAAGUGAAUGAAUGAAUCCACUUUCACCCAUAAUAGUCCCUGUCCCCACAGGCCCUGCAGAGCUCAUGAUUGGGGAAGAGUAUAAUCUAGGAGGAAUCAGGAUGGGGAGAGAAAAUGGAAGACUUUGCUCUGGGCCCUGCCUUCAGUGGCCUGCUGUCAUUUCUGAUAAGAAGAUCCAAGCUUUCUGUGAGGGCCAAGAGCUCACCAACACUUGUGCUCAAGACUCUGUCAUACCCCUUGACCAUGAAGCCUGGUUCGGGAUCCACCCGUCUUCUUCUCUGUGGGCAUGAGCCAGGCUUUCCCUGGGCCCAGAAUUGGGCCUGAGUCGUGUUGCUUGCUAUCUGUCCAUCUGUACUUGUGGGAAGCAGUCCUCAUCAGAGUAUCUUGUCAAACAGAUGCCCUGCUCCCUGCAGGCAUCCCUGCACCUCUUCCCCCUCCAGCUCUGCCCUAGCCAGUUCCUCUGCCAGGCCACAGCCUCUCUGUCCCCUGGAGUUUGUGUCUCAUGCUGGUCCUUUUGCCUGCCUGGAAAGCAUGUCCUCUACCCUCUAUCCAGAUGACUCCUCAUCCCGUGGAAUUCAGCUCAGGGGUCACUUCCUUCAGGAAGCUUCUUUAACAUGCCUGCUGUCCCCCCGCAGCCCCCCACAUAGAGGCCUCUUCUCUGUGCUUAUUGCUAGCAGAGCAGUAAUCACGUUCUGAUUAAAUCCUUCUUAUCUGUUUUCCUUACCAAAUCCUAAGAUCUCUUGAGAAUAAAAACUUCA